RNAcentral lists this transfer RNA (64 nucleotides) under Ricinoides karschii. Its description in RNAcentral is "tRNA-Met". The record is from RNAcentral. Lineage: Eukaryota; Metazoa; Arthropoda; Arachnida; Ricinulei; Ricinoididae.
GAUAAAGUAAGCUAAAUAUUAAGCUCUUGGGUUCAUACCUCAAAUAUGUUAAACACCUUUAUUA